RNAcentral lists this transfer RNA (68 nucleotides) under Cochlostyla marinduquensis. Its description in RNAcentral is "tRNA-Met". The record is from RNAcentral. Lineage: Eukaryota; Metazoa; Mollusca; Gastropoda; Stylommatophora; Camaenidae.
CUUUAGAUAAGCUAAUUAACUAUAAGCUAUUGGGCUCAUAACCCAAAUAUGGUAGAAUCCUCUAAAGG